UGGUGUGAAUUGCAGAAUCCCGUGAACCAUCGAGUCUUUGAACGCAAGUUGCGCCCGAAGCCCCCGGGUCGAGGGCACGUCUGCCUGGGUGUCACGC
This 97-nucleotide ribosomal RNA is filed under the name Richeria grandis. RNAcentral describes it as "partial 5.8S ribosomal RNA". It matches the Rfam family "5.8S ribosomal RNA", at positions 63 to 154 of the family's 154-position model. Rfam says of the family: 5.8S ribosomal RNA (5.8S rRNA) is a component of the large subunit of the eukaryotic ribosome. Lineage: Eukaryota; Viridiplantae; Streptophyta; Magnoliopsida; Malpighiales; Phyllanthaceae. The record is from RNAcentral.